AGCAUCCAAACAAAAGCCAAUUUCGGAUUUUACAUUAUUUAAAUUACACAGUUAAGAUAGACAAAGUUGAGUUGAGAAAUAUAUAAAAUUUAGUAAGUUUU
Molecule: long non-coding RNA, 101 nt
Organism: Melitaea cinxia (Glanville fritillary)
Lineage: Eukaryota; Metazoa; Arthropoda; Insecta; Lepidoptera; Nymphalidae
Exons: 3
Source: RefSeq, a predicted model, not a curated record